AGUGAACGCUGGCGGUAGGCCUAACACAUGCAAGUCGAACGGCAGCACAGUAAGAGCCUGCUCUUACGGGUGGCGAGUGGCGGACGGGUGAGGAAUACAUCGGAAUCUACUUUUUCGUGGGGGAUAACGUAGGGAAACUUACGCUAAUACCGCAUACGACCUACGGGUGAAAGCAGGGGAUCUUCGGACCUUGCGCGAUUGAAUGAGCCGAUGUCGGAUUAGCUAGUUGGCGGGGUAAAGGCCCACCAAGGCGACGAUCCGUAGCUGGGCUGAGAGGAUGGUCAGCCCCGCUGGAACUGACACACGAUCCAGCCCCCAACGGUACGCAGGGGAGGGGUGGAUAGGACAGUGGGCGCAAGCCUGAUCCAGCCAUGCCGCGUGGGUGAAGAAGGCCCGGGGGUUGUAAAGCACUUUUCUUGGGAAAGAAAAGCAGCAGCUUAACACCCCGCUGGGCGACCGUUACCCAAAGAAUAGGCACCGGCUACCUUCUU
RNAcentral lists this ribosomal RNA (491 nucleotides) under uncultured bacterium. RNAcentral describes it as "partial 16S ribosomal RNA". It matches the Rfam family "Bacterial small subunit ribosomal RNA", at positions 29 to 506 of the family's 1533-position model. The record is from RNAcentral.